CAGCAGCCACGGUAAUACAGAGGAUGCAAGCGUUAUUCGUAAUGAUUGGGCGUAAAGCGUCUGUAGGUGGCUUUUCAAGUUCAAAGUCAAAUCCCCGGGCUCAACCCUGGACAGGCGGUGGAAACUACCAAGCUGGAGUAAGGUAGGGGUAGAGGGAAUUUCCGGUGGAGCGGUGGAAUGCAUUGAGAUCGGAAAGAACACCAACGGCGAAAGCACUCUGCUGGGCCGACACUGACACUGAGAGACGAAAGCUAGGGGAGCAAAUGGGAUUAGAUACCCCCGUAGUCCCUGUCUCUUAUAA
This 301-nucleotide ribosomal RNA is filed under the name uncultured bacterium. RNAcentral describes it as "partial 16S ribosomal RNA". It matches the Rfam family "Bacterial small subunit ribosomal RNA", at positions 509 to 809 of the family's 1533-position model. The record is from RNAcentral.